GAGUUUGAUCAUGGCUCAGAUUGAACGCUGGCGGCAUGCCUUACACAUGCAAGUCGAGCGGCAGCGCGGGGGCAACCCUGGCGGCGAGCGGCGAACGGGUGAGUAAUGCAUCGGAACGUGUCCUCUUGUGGGGGAUAACCAGUCGGAAGACUGGCUAAUACCGCAUGAGAUCGAGAGAUGAAAGCAGGGGACCGCAAGGCCUUGCGCGAGAGGAGCGGCCGAUGCCGGAUUAGCUAGUUGGUGGGGUAAAGGCCUACCAAGGCGACGAUCCGUAGCUGGUCUGAGAGGACGACCAGCCACACUGGGACUGAGACACGGCCCAGACUCCUACGGGAGGCAGCAGUGGGGAAUUUUGGACAAUGGGGGCAACCCUGAUCCAGCCAUGCCGCGUGUGUGAAGAAGGCC
Molecule: ribosomal RNA, 405 nt
Filed under: uncultured beta proteobacterium
Lineage: Bacteria; Pseudomonadati; Pseudomonadota; Betaproteobacteria
Description: bacterial SSU rRNA
Rfam family: Bacterial small subunit ribosomal RNA
Source: RNAcentral